GUCCGCCGGCGGCGCCGUGAGGCGGGCAGUAGUCGUGAGGGACCAUGCGGCGGACGCGCGGCGCGCUGCCGGCCCAGCUGCCGGCGGCGGAGGCGGAGGAGGCGCUGCGGCGCCUGACGCGGUUCCUGGCGCGCGCGUUGCCGCUGUGCCGCGCCCACACGACGGAGUUCUAUGUGCGCGGGCUGUGGGAGCAGCUGGUGGCGGCGCGCCCCGAGGUCGUGCUACAGGCGCUGCGGCGCCCCCUGCCGGAGGCCUCCGGCUCCGCGGCCGUGCUGUGGGAUGACGACACAUUUUCUGACGUGUUUUGUGAAAACUCCAAGAAACUUAUCAAUGUACACUUAUUUGCCCUGGCUGCCAGGCAUUAUUCUUUGCCCAACCUUGGAGUGUGUACUCCAUUAGAAGAUAUACUUGAAGCACUGAGAGGAGACAGCCAAGGAGCAAGUGGUAUCAAAACAGAUGAGUUUAUGAAUAAUAAGAAAUCUCAUGAAGUACAAGCAAUGUCAGAGCUGGUAGACAAAAUAGCAAAGUAUUGUGGUGUAGAGCAGGUGAUUGAUAUAGGUUCUGGAAAGGGCUACCUGAGUUCAUUUUUAUCUAUGCAAUAUAACUUAAAAGUUUAUGGAAUUGAUUCAUCGAAAACCAAUACUAACGGUGCUCAUGAAAGGAACAGGAAAUUGAAGAAACACUGGAAAACUUAUCAGAGUCGAGCAAGAGGCGGUUCUGAAACCCAGAGGUUGGAAAAGCCAAUGAAAAGUGAAGUUAAAUGUAAAACCAUCAAUGAAAAACCCUUAAGUAAUAACAGCAGUCUUCAAAGUCAAGAGCUAGGGAAUACCCAAGACUUAGUUCCUUCUUGUGUUUUCACAGAAGUGGCUAUAUCUGAGACCAGCAAACAAACUGAAAUCAAUUUGGCACAGGCACAGUCUGAUGAGAGCAAGCUUUCUGAAGAGGCUCUUGCUAUUCUCAGUAUUCUGCCUGCUGAUGCUGUAGAAGUUUUCUCUUCAUCCCACUGUAACUAUGGGGAAAUCUGUGAAGAGGGAAAAGCACAAAGAAAAAUGGCAUUUAUCAAGGCUAAAGUGAGCAAGUCAAGUGAAUCAAACCUUUAUUUUCCAUUGACCUCCUACAUCAGCGCGGAAACAGAACUCAGUGACAUCAUAACAGAUUUAGAGGACUGUAUAAUGGUGGGUCUGCAUACAUGUGGUGACCUUGCUGCAAACACACUCCGAAUUUUUACUGCCAAGCCUGAAAUCAAAGCAGUUUGCAGUGUAGGCUGCUGCUACCAUCUGUUGUCAGAACAGUAUGAAAACCAAGAAGAUUGCACAGAGGAAAUGUGGGGAUUUCCCAUGUGUCAGUACUUGAAGGACGAGGGCUGGUGCUGUGGUCGCAAUGCUAGAAUGUCAGCAUGCUUGGCUUUGGAGCGAGUUGCAGUCGGCCAAAUGCUGCCUACAGAAUCGUUAUUUUAUCGAGCUGUUCUUCAGGUUAUUAUAGAAGAAACUUAUGGUGUCACCAAAAGUGAUCGACAUGUUGGAAAAAUUUUCUCCAAAUCCUCCUCAUUCUUAGAUUAUGUCAGAAAGUCUCUGAAAAAACUGGAACUGGAUGAUUCCAAGCUUCCAGACAGUUGUAUAAUGGAUUACUAUGAAAAAUACAAGCACAGAAUGAAUGAGCUUGAAGCAUUUAAUAUGCUAAAGGUUGUGCUAGCUCCCUGCGUAGAAGUUUUGAUACUUCUGGAUCGUCUUUGCUACCUCAAGGAGCAGAACAACAUUGCCUGGUCAGGACUUGUGAAGUUAUUCGAUCCCGUGAAAUCCCCCAGAUGCUAUGCAGUUAUUGCUCUGAAGAAACAGUCGUGUCUUUAAGUGGAAGCAAACUGCAGAUAGGUUGAAAGCUCUGAACUGAUACUGCUAUUUCCUCACUGCUCUUUUUAAUUGAUUCCUCAAGUAUACUGAUACGUUUGGCAACUAUUUACUUUUCAGCUGCAAAAAUAAUAAAUGCAAUGCCUCUGUGAAUCGCACCAUUCUUAUCUAUUGCUGGCCCUCCUCUUGGUAUUUUUAAUCUCAAGAUUAUUCUUCCAUAGAUAUUUUCAAAUGUUCCAAUGGAUGACAUCAACAAUCUCAGGCAAGCCUGGCUUUUUUCUUUUCUGGAUUCAGAUCACACAUAGUUUAAACAGAAAAUUAAUCUGUGUUAUAGACAAGAAGUGCAUAGACUAAGUGAGUCUUUGUGCUUCUCUGCUCUCCAAGUGAACUAAAACAGCUUACUGUAGAGCAACCCUGAAGAGUCCAGAACCUUCUAAGACUAGAUACUAAAUACCCACAAAAGGGGGUUUUGUAUUAAUCUCCUCUUCCUUCAGGCAUGUUCCUGACAUGUCUUGCUUGCCAGUCACUCUGAAAAAAACAACUGAGUGUGAUGCAAUCCAUUGUAUCCCAAUAUUAAAGAAUCAGCUGCCCUGCUGGAGUUCACUCUAAUCUUUGGGUUUUAUCAGAAACCUAUUAUCUGGCUCAAAUGUAUUGGGUAUAAGUAUAAAAAUUUUGGUGCCUAAAUGAGUUGAAACUUGCUAGGUAGUUUCUGCUUGGCCAUACUGACUUUAAGAGUGGGAAAUUUAUUUGUUGAUGCGUUCAUCCCAAUGGAUUGCCUCCUUAAACUUCCAGAUAUACUAUCAAUUAAAAAAAGAGAAAGGUUUCUAUUCUAAGUCCUAGUGCUUUUAUUAGAACUUUCCAGUGAAUACAAAAAAUAAUUAUUUACAAGGAGUAUUUAAAAAGGCCGACCAAUAGAAUUCAACAUUAAAAAAUAAAACCAGAAAAUGCAACUUUGGUGGGCAGCAAAUGAGAGAAACAGAAAAAAAAAUUAUAUUAAUUAAAUAGUGACAGUAAUAGAUUUGGGAGUCAAAUUGAGAUUCAGAUCUGAGGAGCGAUAAAUCUUAUUCUGUUUCAGUCUGCAAAAUAUAAUGUGAGCUUUUGAGCACGGCCAAUCAAGAAAAGAGAAGUAGGGUAUUUUUCUAACAAGUCACAUCUCUUUUCAUGUAUUUUCUUGGAAGAAAUAUAUUUUUUUAGUAGUGUAGGUAAGUUCACUGCUGUCUGUUUUCGGACAUUCAGUCCUUACUAGCUCCGUGGAUCUGCUGAAUGUGGUGGAUGUCCUAGUAACGGAGGACACUGAGAAGAUGGAGUUACUGAACACCUUCUUUGCUCCAGUCUUUACUGCUACAACUUCCCCUCAGAAAUUGCAGACCCUGGAUACAGGGGUAGUAUCUAGAGAAAGGAAGGCUUCCCUUAGUCGGGGAGUAUCUGAUCAGAGAUCGUCUAGUCAAACUUGACCAUAGAUCCAUGAGGCUCAGUGGGAUGCAUCCAUGAGGGCUGAGGUAGCUGGCAGAAGUGACUGCCAAACCACUCUCUAUCAUCUUUGAAAGGCCAUGGAGAAGUGUCUGAGAACCAGAGGAAAGCCAGUGUCACUCUGCUCUUCAAAAAGGGCAAGAAGGAGGAUCUGGGCAACUACAGGACAGUCAGCCUCACUUCCAUUCCUGGGAAAGUAAGUGAUACAGCAGCUUAUUCUGGAUGCCAUCUCUGAGCAAAUGGAAGAAAAGAAGGUUAUCAGGAGUAGUCAGCAUGGAUUCAUCAAGGGAAAAUCAUGCUUGACGAAUGUGGUAACCUUCUAUGAUGUCAUGACUGGCUGGGUAGAUGAGGGGCAAGCAGUGGAUGUUGACUUCAGCGCAGCUCUUGGCACUGUAUCCCACAACAUCCUCAUGGAUAAGCUUAGGAAGUGUGGGAUAGACAAGUGAACAGUGAGUUGGAUUGAGAAUCAGUUGACUGGUAAAGUUCAGAGGGUUGUGAUCAGUGGCUCAGACUACAGUCAGAGACCUGUAGCUAGUGGCAUCCCCACGGGUUUGGUAGCAGUUAUGGUCUUGUUCAACAUCUUCAUCAAUGACCUGAAUAAAGGAUAGAAUGCACCUUCAGCAUGUCUGUUGUUUAGGCAAAGCUGGGAGGACUGGCUCACACACUAGCAGGCUGUGCUGCCAUUCUGGUCACUUUGGAGAGGUGAGUGGAGAAAAGCCUGAUGAGAUUCAACAAGGGCAGGUGUAAAGUUCUGCACCUAGGGAAGAAUAACUGUAUGCAUCAGCACAGGUUAGGGCAGGCAUGUCCAACUCACAGCCUGUGGGCCACAUACAGCCCAGUGCAGCUCACAGUGUGGCCGCUCCCUCCCUGCCCUUUGUCGUUAUGGCAAUGGUUCUUCUGCAUGAAGCAGCUUGGCCCAGCCCUGGGCGGGCAGCCGUCACUCAGCAACAACCAAAUGUUGGUGAGCAAUUAACUCUGGCUGAGCUGAAAUCAGGACAUGGGGCAUAGUGCAGGGCUAACUCAAGUUCUGACAAAUAUGUUUAUGCAUUUUGAUACACUGGCUAAACACAGUGCUGUGAACAGCAAAAAAUACACAGCUGUGCUUCCUUUUUGAUAUAAGAAUCUGAGAAUAGGUUUCAACAUUGCCAAGAAAUUACUGUUUGUUUUUUUUUAAUAUUUGUGACUUCAUUUCUCAGUUGACAUAAAUACAUGACUUGCAAAUUUUCAAAUGGAAUGUAUAGAAUUGCAAUCAGAUAUUAAACUAAAAAUACUGAUGAUGUUUCUGUACUGGACUCUUAUAAGCCCUGUUUUAGCAGAAAGAAAUAUCCCUCACUUCACAAUCACGCCUUACUCAUGUCACCACUUUGGCAGUACGUAUAUUUGUGAACAGCUGUUUUCAAGGAGGAAGUGCAGAAAGAGUAAAAUCUCAUCAAAAAGCUCUGUUGAACACCUUGAGAAUUCACUGAGAAUGGCAAACACUUCCAUUGAACCAGACUGAUGCAUUAGUGUCACAAAAUCAAAUAUCCCACCAGUUCAGUGUUUUUUUUUCUCUCCCUUUUUUAUGUUUUAAUAAAAAAUAGCAAAAAAAUCUUUUUUUUUACUUACAUACAUUAACUAUAUUAUAUAUUUU
Gallus gallus (chicken) is the source of this 4944-nucleotide RNA transcript. It is a transcript of the gene named methyltransferase like 25, with no coding region annotated. The record is from RefSeq and is a predicted model, not a curated record. The transcript has 13 exons. NCBI's taxonomy places the organism in Eukaryota, Metazoa, Chordata, Aves, Galliformes, Phasianidae.